UACGGGGGGGGCAAGCGUUGUUCGGAAUUACUGGGCGUAAAGGGCUCGUAGGCGGCCAACUAAGUCAGACGUGAAAUCCCUCGGCUUAACCGGGGAACUGCAUCUGAUACUGGGUGGCUUGAGUUCGGGAGAGGGAUGCGGAAUUCCAGGUGUAGCGGUGAAAUGCGUAGAUAUCGUGAGGAACACCAGAGGCGAAGGCGGCUACCUGGACAAUUGCUGACGCUCAGGCACGAAAGCGUGGGGAGCAAAAGGG
This 253-nucleotide ribosomal RNA is filed under the name uncultured bacterium. RNAcentral describes it as "partial 16S ribosomal RNA". It matches the Rfam family "Bacterial small subunit ribosomal RNA", at positions 524 to 776 of the family's 1533-position model. The record is from RNAcentral.